This 81-nucleotide small RNA is filed under the name Marmota monax (woodchuck). Lineage: Eukaryota; Metazoa; Chordata; Mammalia; Rodentia; Sciuridae. The record is from RNAcentral.
GCCAGGCGUGGUGGCGCAUGCCUGUAAUCCAGCAUCUUGGAGGCUGAGGCAGGAGGAUAAUGAGUUCAAAGCCAGCCUCAG